GAUGAAGAACGUAGCGAAAUGCGAUACGUAAUGUGAAUUGCAGAAUUCAGUGAAUCAUCGAGUCUUUGAACGCACAUUGCGCCCCCUGGUAUUCCGGGGGGCAUGCCUGUCCGAGCGUCAUUGCUGCCCUCAAGCACGGCUUGUGUGUUGGGCCUCCGUCCUCCUCCCGGGGGACGGGCCCGAAAGGCAGCGGCGGCACCGCGUCCGGUCCUCGAGCGUAUGGGGCUUCGUCACCCGCUCUUGUAGGCCCGGCCGGCGCUUGCCGACACAUCAAUCUUUUUUCCAGGUUGACCUCGGAUCAGGUAGGGAUACCCGCUGAACUUAAGCAUACAUUAAGCGGAGGA
Molecule: unclassified non-coding RNA, 344 nt
Filed under: soil metagenome
Description: partial contains 5.8S ribosomal RNA, internal transcribed spacer 2, and large subunit ribosomal RNA
Rfam family: 5.8S ribosomal RNA (bases 1-120)
Source: RNAcentral